CGGGCUGUGGCGCAGUUGGUAGCGCGCAUGCAUGGGGUGCAUGAGGUCGCUGGUUCAAGUCCAGUCAGCCCGA
Molecule: transfer RNA, 73 nt
Filed under: Candidatus Berkelbacteria bacterium
Lineage: Bacteria; Candidatus Berkelbacteria
Description: tRNA-Pro
Rfam family: tRNA
About the family: Transfer RNA (tRNA) molecules are approximately 80 nucleotides in length. Their secondary structure includes four short double-helical elements and three loops (D, anti-codon, and T loops). Further hydrogen bonds mediate the characteristic L-shaped molecular structure. tRNAs have two regions of fundamental functional importance: the anti-codon, which is responsible for specific mRNA codon recognition, and the 3' end, to which the tRNAs corresponding amino acid is attached (by aminoacyl-tRNA synthetases). tRNAs cope with the degeneracy of the genetic code in two manners: having more than one tRNA (with a specific anti-codon) for a particular amino acid; and 'wobble' base-pairing, i.e. permitting non-standard base-pairing at the 3rd anti-codon position.
Source: RNAcentral